GAGCAUGUGGUUUAAUUUGAAGAUACGCGUAGAACCUUACCCACUCUUGACAUCUUCUGCAAAGCUAUAGAGAUAUAGUGGAGGUUAACAGAAUGACAGAUGGUGCAUGGUUGUCGUCAGCUCGUGUCGUGAGAUGUUCGGUUAAGUCCUGCAACGAGCGCAACCCUUGUCCUUAGUUAAACGUUCUAGGGAGACUGCCCGGGUAACCGGGAGGAAGGUGGGGACGACGUCAAAUCAUCAUGCCUCUUACGAGUGGGGCAACACACGUGCUACAAUGGAUGGUACAAAGAGACGCAAUACGGCGACGUGGAGCAAAUCUCAAAAAACCAUUCUCAGUUCGGAUUGUAGUCUGCAACUCGACUACAUGAAGUCGGAAUCGCUAGUAAUCGUAGAUCAGCUACGCUACGGUGAAUACGUUCUCGGGUCUUGUACACACCGCCCGUCACACCAUGGGAGCUGGUAAUGCCCGAAGUCGGUUUUGUUAACUACGGAGACAACUGCCUAAGGCAGGACUGGUGACUGGGGUGAAGUCGUAACAAGGUAUCCCUACGAGAACGUGGGGAUGGAUUACCUCCUUUCUACGGAGUACACYUUUCAGUUUAGUGCUGAAAAAUACAACAAAAAUUAUUAAAUAUUAACGACAAAUAAUAGGUCAUGUCAUAUAUCUAGUUUUGAGAGAACUUUCUCUCUUUGUUCUUUGAAAACUGAAUAGUAAAGUAAAGAUAUUAAAUUAAUAUAACAACGACAUCAAAAAAUAAAUUAGUCAAUUUGUUUUGUGAUACCGAGUUAAUUAUUAUUCUAAAAAUAAUAAUUUAUUGAAAUGUCUUUGAAUACAUCAAACAAAUAGGUAAAUAUUGUUACAACUUUUAAAUAAGUAAGAGUUUGUGGUGGAUGCCUUGGGUCUGGAAGUCGAUGAAGGACGUGAUUACCUGCGAUAAGCCUCGUGGAGCUGGAUAUGAGCUACGAUACGGGGAUUUCCGAAUGGGGAAACCUARCUAGAGUAAUUUCUAGUUGCUGUAUAAUKAAUCAAAUAGUUAUACAGACGAGACACGUUGUGAACUGAAACAUCUUAGUAGCAACAGGAAGAGAAAAUAAAUAAUGAUUCCAUUAGUAGCGGCGAGCGAACGUGGAAGAGCYCAAACCGACAUUAGUCGGGGUUGUAGGACUAUCUACAUGAAGUUACAAAUCUUUAUCAUAGCAGAAUAGCGUGGGAAAGCUAAGCAAAGAGGGUGAUACUCCCGUAAGCGAAAUGGUAAAGACUUCUGAUAGUAUCCUGAGUAGGGCGGGGCACGUGAAACCCUGUCUGAAUCUGCCGGGACCAUCCGGUAAGGCUAAAUACUAACCAGACACCGAUAGUGAACUAGUACCGUGAGG
This 1374-nucleotide small RNA is filed under the name Mycoplasmopsis gallinacea. RNAcentral's name for it is "bacterial LSU rRNA". The stretch from base 1 to 578 matches the Rfam family "Bacterial small subunit ribosomal RNA", at positions 935 to 1533 of the family's 1533-position model. The record is from RNAcentral. Lineage: Bacteria; Bacillati; Mycoplasmatota; Mycoplasmoidales; Metamycoplasmataceae.